Molecule: ribosomal RNA, 1380 nt
Filed under: Macalpinomyces thuemenii
Lineage: Eukaryota; Fungi; Basidiomycota; Ustilaginomycetes; Ustilaginales; Ustilaginaceae
Description: eukaryotic LSU rRNA
Rfam family: Eukaryotic large subunit ribosomal RNA
Source: RNAcentral
CGUCUUCGGCGUCCGCAUUGUAAUCUCAAGAAGUGUUUUCCGCUUCGGACCAAGCCUAAGUCCCUUGGAAAAGGGCAUCAUAGAGGGUGAUAAUCCCGUACAUGGCUUGGAGCGCCCGAGGCUUUGUGAUACGCUUUCUAAGAGUCGAGUUGUUUGGGAAUGCAGCUCAAAAUGGGUGGUAAAUGCCAUCUAAGGCUAAAUAUUGGGGAGAGACCGAUAGCGAACAAGUACAGUGAUGGAAAGAUGAAAAGAACUUUGAAAAGAGAGUUAAACAGUACGUGAAAUUGCCAAAAGGGAAGGGUAGGAGGUCAGAGAUGCGGUCUGGGAUUCAGCCUUGCUUUUUCGCUAGGUGUUUUUCCCAGAUGGCAGGCCAACGUCGGUUUUGGGCACUGGAGAAGGGUAGGAGGAACGUGGCACCUCUCGGGGUGUGUUAUAGCCUCCUACUGGAUACAGCGACCGAGACCGAGGAACGCAGCGUACUCGCAAGAGCGGGCCCUCGGGCACCUUUACGCUUAGGGCGUUGGCAUAAUGGCCCUCUACCACCCGUCUUGAAACACGGACCAAGGAGUCUAACAUGUAUGCGAGUCUUUGGGUGGCAAACCCAUAUGCGCAAUGAAAGUGAAUUCACGUGGGAUCCGCAAGGUGCACCAUCGACCGAUCCUCACGUCUUUUAAGUCGUGGAUUUGAGUAAGAGCAUACCUGUUGGGACCCGAAAGAUGGUGAACUAUGCCUGAAUAGGGUGAAGCCAGAGGAAACUCUGGUGGAGGCUCGUAGCGGUUCUGACAUGCAAAUCGAUCGUCAAAUUUGGGUAUAGGGGCGAAAGACUAAUCGAACCAUUAUAUCAAUGUAUGCUAGGUGGUUAAGAGGUGGCAUGAAAGUGCGCACCUAGUGGACGCUGAAGUUCGCGACACUGUCAAAAUGCGGGGACACCCUAAAGCUUUCAAUACCAAGCCGGCGUGGAAACACAGUCGGUGGCCGAGCUAAUAGCCCUGGGUAUGGUAAAAACUCGAAAGAUGUCUCACUGGGCAAUCCGCACACACGCUCUAAGGGGUGUUUGCAAGAAGAUUCUAUGAGUGCACUUCACAGACUAGAUGGCACUGGGUCCCUCUCUCUCAGAAAGAGAGAGAGAGAGAGAGAGGGGCUUAAGAUAUAGUCGGUCCUUCCGCGAAAGCGGACCGGGGGACGAAAGAUGGAGAUCCUUCAGCGGUAGAUCUCUUUCCGGAGCCUCUGGGAGCUGCAGCUCGGUUCUGCAGCUUUGGGUGCUACGCUAGUAGCUGGUUCCUGCCGAAGUUUCCCUCAGGAUAGCAGAAACUCACAUCAGUUUUAUGAGGUAAAGCGAAUGAUUAGAGGCCUUGGGGAAGUAACUUCCUUAACCUAUAC